This 636-nucleotide ribosomal RNA is filed under the name Rotylenchulus reniformis. RNAcentral's name for it is "SSU rRNA". It matches the Rfam family "Eukaryotic small subunit ribosomal RNA", at positions 1003 to 1664 of the family's 1831-position model. Lineage: Eukaryota; Metazoa; Nematoda; Chromadorea; Rhabditida; Hoplolaimidae. The record is from RNAcentral.
GGCGAUCAGAUACCGCCCUAGUUCUGACCGUAAACGAUGCCAACUAGCGAUCCGCCAGUCGACUCAUCGCUCUGGUGGGGAGCUUCCCGGAAACGAAAGUCUUCCGGUUCCGGGGGAAGUAUGGUUGCAAAGCUGAAACUUAAAGGAAUUGACGGAAGGGCACCACCAGGAGUGGAGCCUGCGGCUUAAUUUGACUCAACACGGGGAAACUCACCCAGCCCGGACACCGUAAGGAUUGACAGAUUGAUAGCUUUUUCAUGAUUCGGUGGAUGGUGGUGCAUGGCCGUUCUUAGUUCGUGGAGCGAUUUGUCUGGUUUAUUCCGAUAACGAGCGAGACUCUGGCCUACUAAAUAGUUGACGCAUUGCCACUGUGCGCACAACUUCUUAGAGGGAUUUUCGGUGUUUUCAACCGCACGAAAUUGAGCAAUAACAGGUCUGUGAUGCCCUUAGAUGUCCGGGGCUGCACGCGCGCUACACUGGCAAACGCAACGUGCCUGUCCUGCCCCGAAAGGAGCGGGUAAACCCCUGAAAUUUUGCCGUGAUUGGGAUCGGACAUUGCAACUAUUGUCCGUGAACGAGGAAUUCCUUGUAGGGGCGAGUCAUCAACUCGUCCCGAAUACGUCCCUGCCCUUUGUA